Molecule: long non-coding RNA, 14056 nt
Filed under: Amborella trichopoda
Lineage: Eukaryota; Viridiplantae; Streptophyta; Magnoliopsida; Amborellales; Amborellaceae
Description: long non-coding RNA (ATRI_LNC004215)
Source: RNAcentral
AUUUACAAAAUAGUGUAUCUUACCAUACAUUAUUUAGAUCGUCCAUUUUUAAUAUUUUAGUAUAUUUAUAGAUUCCGCAUUUCAUGUGGAAGGAUUUAGGAAAAUCUUAUUCCUCUGUCUAAUCUAUGGUAAACUUUCAAAACCAUAGUUUUCUAUUGAAAAUGACCCUCCAUUUUGAUUCCAUCUUCCCUUUUCUUCUCCCUUUUUUCUGCAAUAAGUUGUUAGGUUUUUUCCCACUUCUCAUUCCUUAAUUCUUCCCUAUUACUUGUUAGUUUUCAAUUCGUCCUCUGUAUUUUCCAUUUCUUAACUGGAAAUUCAGUGGUUUUUCUCCAAUUUUGAGAUACUUUUCUUUUGAUUUCUCAGAUCAAAGAGAGGCAGGAGGCCCUAGAAAUUAGUGUUUCGAAGCUCGAAGCCAUGGCUGGCCAGAACUCCGAAUUUUCAAUGGUAUCAUUUGUCUCUCAUUAUUUUUUUAUGGAUUAAAGAUUAUUGCUCAUAAUUUAUUGAGAUUUUUCAGAAAAAAAUAUUUUCCAUUGCAAAUUUAGAGGUUAUAUAUCAUAAAUAAGGAUAAGCGAUAAUUGCUUUUUAUUGCAUGUUUACUUGUGAAUUUCUGAAUGUAAAUUAUGAACAAUUGACUUCAUUUUUGUUUACAAUAGAUGAAAUUUUUCUUGAACAGCCAAUGUUCAAUUUAUGGGCUUGCACUCUGGACUCCGCCCCCACCUGAGCGGAGUAACUCAACCGAGUCUGAGCCCCACCAGGGCUAAAAAAUUGGAAAAAAUACAAAUAGUUGUUAAAAAUAAUUUAAAUUAGUAAAUGUUUUUAUAAACAACGUUAGAAGUCUGCAAAAAUAGUAUACAGGAGAUGAAUUAUGGAAAAAACUGAUUUAUAGCUUGAAACAAUUCAAAAAAAUCCCAAAAGGAAAAAAUAGAAAAAAAAAUCAUCGGCCCCAAUCAGAGCCCAAAAAGGGCUAAAAAAUUGGAAACAAAUACAAAAAGGUUGUUAAAAAUAAUUUAAAAUAGUUAAAAAAAUAUAUAUAAACAACAUUAGAAGUAUACAAAACAAGUAACAGGAGAUGAAUUACGGAAAAAACUGAUUUAUAGCUUGAAGCAAUUCAGAAAAAUCCAAAAAAAGAAAAACAAAUCAAUAAUAAGAAAAAAAAAAUCAUUAAUAAGAAAAAUUUACAAAUAAGGCAUAAAAAACAUAAGAAUUGUGUAAGAAACACAUCAGUGCAUCAUUUAUUGGUGAUUUAGUAACCAUAUUUUUAAAUUUUUUAAGAGACUUUAACAAAACCAAAUUUGUUAAUAGAACUCCCUUGGGCUCCCUUGGGCAGGUAUACCCCACCCCCCCCCCCCCCGGUACAGUUUAUACUGAGCCUUAACACUAGUCUUUUUCUCACUGAGUCAUGUUCCAAUGGCUUGUCCAGAAAAUAAAUGCUAAUAAUACUAUCUAAGCUGUCCAAUCAAAUGCUAAAAAACAAAUAAACAAAAUUUAUCAUUUUCUUCCAAAAUUUAUAGCAUUUCAUGUUGAUAAAACUACAGAAAAACAAUUUGCCCCUUCUUUGGCUGCAAAUGAAAGUAGAUGUGUAUUUUACUUGAAAAAUGCUGAUGUCCAUACAUGCGAUUUUUCGGAUAUUGUAUUUUAAGUUUAAGGUUGUUUGGCUGCUAGAGAGAGGAAAGUGUUGUUAAGGAGAUGGGAAAAAUAUGGGCAGGAGAAGGGAAAACCAAAUUGGAAAAUGUUGAGAGAGAGUGGUCUGGAUAAUUUGUGUAGAGUGAGAAGAAACCCGAAAGUGGCAGAGAGGUGAGGGGAAAUAAGAGUUUGUAGUCUACUGAAAGAGUGAGUUUAAUUGGCCUGGGUCAGGCCUGCCGGGCCAAAGGCCUGACUCGACCUUACACGGGUUGGGUUUGGAUCUCUUCACGGGGCCAACCGUUCCAAACUCAGCCUGAAUGUAAGGCCCAUUAGAUCAGUGAACUGGGUAGGCCGGAGGGCUUCGAAGGUCCAGAGCAGCAUCAGUUGGGUUCUAGACCCCUUGAUAGGACCUGUCUGGCCGGGCUUAUUUUAAGGUCUGUAAGCCUUGCAGGCUGGGAAAGGUCUGCUAAAGCUUGGCCUUCCACCCUUAUUUGGGGGUUUAGUUUCAACUUGCAAGGCCAAGGCUUUGGGGAUUUAGUUGCAGAGGAUUAGGAUUGGGUUUUCGGGGUUAUAGUUGUGGAGGAUAGGGAUUAGGAUUAGGUUUUUGUGAUUUGGGUUUAUACCAUAAUUUCUACAGGUAUCAGUUUUCUUGAGCUUUCUGUCUUCUCAAUGAAUAUGAAUAUGAAUAUGUAGGUGUUUCUCUCUCUUAUGUGAGAGAGGCGCUCUGGCCUAGAUGGGGUGGGUUUGGUAAAAAUUGGUGUCUCCUAGAGAUGAUCUUCCCAUGCAAGCCAAGUGAUGGUUGGUCUUUUAGAGAAAUAAGCUUUGCACCAGUGUUUUAAAACCGGAUGACGGUUUUUUACUCGGAUUGCCAAUCCGGAUUGAGUCUGGGAUGGUAUGGGUCCCAGCCUAUUCCCUUAACUGUGUCCCGCCUAGCCACAGAUUUAUUUUUGUUUAGAUUUUAAUUAUUUUUAAUAUUUUUUAUCACCAAUUCAAGUUGAUCUACGAUCCAAUAAUCCGACAUUGAUCCGUCCUAUUAAUUUGAGUUUUCAAACAUUGAUUUGCAGCCAGUAGUGGGGCAUAUUUACUCUAGUAGAGAGGUUCUGAUAUCCUGUUAUAAAGAGGGAAUGCGUGGACCACGAGUGUUUACAAAUAUAGGGAUGACGUUUCUCUCAGGAUUUAGAGAAAACAAAAUAAAAGGCUCACCUCAAAUCCUCUGAAAAGCACUUUAAUAGCAUAAAUAUUCAUGAUAGCUUUAAAAUCAAUUUCCAAUGCCAAUGUUGCAGAUUUGUGAAUAUUUAUUUUUAGGGUGAAAUGGAUGGUCUAGAUAAUUUAUUAUCUUAUAAAUAAUGUUUUUUGGUGCUUGGAAUCGUAAUUCUUUUCACAACUCAAGCCGAGAUCUUCUAGUAAAAGUUUUCUAAUGCUUGAAUUACAAUUUUCAAUGAGCUAUAAGUUGAAGAAAUUUCAAUGAGCUAUAAGUUGAGGCUUUAUUUAUUUAGAUAUGGCUACAGCCCUAUCAAACCAUUUUCCCUCAGCUUUAUUUAUUUAGAUAUUAUCAAACCAUUUUCCCUCCGCUUUAUUUAUUUAGAUAUGGCUGUGAUAUUAUCAAACUAUUUUACCUCGGCUUUAUUUAUUCACAUAUGGCUACAGCCCUAUAAAACCAGUUUCCAUCAUAUCAUUUCCCCUCGUGCGGUAGGACCUAAAACCAUGUUUCCUCGUGCGGUAGGACCUCAAACCAUUUUCCCUAAUGCGGUAGGACCUCAAACCAUUUUCCCUAGUGCCGUAGGACCUCUUUUUGUCAUCUAUGAUUCAACUCUCUCUAUUUGUAAAUGAUACUUUUGCAUGUGACUUCCUAUAUGUUCAAAGUUAAACUAUUUUAUUUUGAAAAUGUACAAAUAAAUUAGUAAAAUGCCCCUCCAUCAUCCUUAGCAUUGAAUAAAACCAAAAAAAAUAUAUAUAUAAAAAAGAAAGGAAAGUACAAAGGGAUUGUGUACAAAGAGAUCAUUUAUCUUUUGUACAUAAAAGUCAUAAUCAUUAUUCUCAUUCAUUAGAUGUCAAAUUGGAUGGUUUAGGUAAGUCACGAACUCGAAAUUUUUUUUUUUUAAACUUUGUGUCUUUUUAAUAAGAUUCUUACAACUAUUUAUUUUGAAAUUUAAGAGAUAAAAAUGAUUGUGACCUCCAUAUAUAAAAUAUAAAUAAUCUUUCAUUAGAUAAUAUAAAAAAAAAAUAAGAAAAAAAGAAAAGAAAAAUGGACAUCUUGAAACUCUUAUUCCAUCACUAAAUAUAGUCCAAUCUAAGAAUCACGGUAGAAGUUGGGUUUUCACCGUUUGACAUCUCAAGUUCCAUUCUCAUAUGACAUUGUCAAAAAAAAAAAAAAAAAACACAAUAAAAGGAAAAAAAAGUUUGGUCCAAUCUUUCUUUAUAAAGACAAGGAGGUCCUUUGGGGCUUUACCCCUCCCAAUAAAAAGGAUGAUCACUUUUUCUUAGCUUGGCUCCUAGGAAGAAUGCUUGAUGACCCAGGCCCUCUCCUAUUGGAUAGGAUCUCAUUGAGAUGUGGCACUCUCCCAUUGGAGAGAGAGGAUCUCAUUGAGACGUGGCACUCUCCCAUUGGGAGAUAGGAGCUGACAUGGCUUUAGGAUGGUUAAAGGAAAUAGGAGAGCUGUUGCUGCUUCGUCCUUGAGCCUCCUUCCCCAAACAUAUCAUUCCAUUGCUGCAACUCGCUCAUGAUUUUCCCCUCCGAGGCAAGCUAGGGGCAAUCUGUACUUGUCAGAAUACAAUUUCAUUUAGUGUGCGAGAGGGACAAUUUCAUUUAGUGAGAGAGAUAGAUAGAGAGGAGAGAGAUGGAGAAUUUAUGUAAUAAUUAGGGAUAGGGAAUGAUCUCAUGUCAACGUCCCGUUGUAAUUGGAUGAGACCACAUUUUUAGAAAGCAAUAGGGACUUUAAAUUUUGCACACACUCUUAAAAAUCAAUCUCAAAAAAUAAAAUUCAAUUUGUACCAUCAAAAUAAAAUUCGAUUUGCACUAUAGAUAUAGAUAUGAUCAAAAUGAGUUCCCUCCUACAAUAAAUUUAGAUCAUCCAUUCAGUGAAUUUUAAGAUAUAGACUUUUUAUGAAUUCAAAAUUAAUUUUUAUUUUUAUUUUUCAACCAAUGUUUUAAAAAACCCCGCCUAGACACCUAGACCGAGGCGGCCCGGGCAGACGGGCGGAUAUACCUAGGGCGGAUGUACCUAGGCGCCCCCUUGGGCGCUGUGUUUUUCAUUUUUUUAAAACUACAGGGCACAUGCAAAAGGUUGUUAAUCUAAUGAUAAUAAAGAUAUGUAAAAGAUUUAGAAGGAAAAAAAAGAUCAUUUUAAGGUCUAGAUUUAAGCAUAUCAAUAAAAUAGAUGGUUUAUAUUAAUUUGAUUAAAAAAUGCUUUAUGACUUGUAUUUUCAAGUUUUGCUUUUUUAAGAUUGUUCGUUAGAAUGAAAGAAUGUAUUUUCAAAAUUUGGGAUUAAACAAAUGGUCAUAAUAGGUUUUUGAAGAUUGUUUCAUUGUAUUACGGUAGAACCAUUUACAUUGAAUCAGUCCCCAUUAAGUAUUGCAUUAUUUGCUAUUGGGCCUGACAAUGGGUCUGGGUAGCCUGAGUCUCGCGUGUGUCCCUUUAGGGGUGGGACAAUUUGGACUGGCCAAAGGGGCUUAAUAGAUUCAAGAAAAAAAGAAAAGAAAAGAAAAGAAAAGAAAAAUCAAGUAAAAACAGGUUUGGGUUGGGCCUGCUUUGUUGUAGCCCUUGACGAGCUUCCACUAUACUGGCCCUCGGACCAUGGUUGCUUGACCUUAAUUCUCCUAUGCUGGGCGGACCAGGCCUCCUGGCCAUCCCUAGCUAUAAAACCAUUUACUUUUGAUAUAUGAAGGUCUCAAUUCCCCUUAUGAAGCUUGAGAAAGUUUCUUUCUGAUUUCAAUCAAGGUCAUUAGCAACAUGUGAACCAUCCAUUUCUGGUGUAAUGGGGCUACACGUGAUUGCGCCUUUUUUGGUUCAAACGAUAAAUUCUAUACCAUCCUUAAAAAUUACAAAAAUUAAUGAAAAUGCACUUAAGAGAUGAAUUACUUUAACAUUUUAUCCCUUUUUUGUUUAAUUUCAAAAAGCCCUCCUAAGUUAAACAUUGAUCAUGUGUUGUGUUGAAAGCUGUGCUUUUAAAAAUGGAUCAGUGGGCGGAUCAUCCACCCACCAGUCCUAUUUAAGAUCGGUUAUCUAGAACCAAUAAAUAUAUAUAUAUAUAUAUAUAUAGAAAAUACAUCAUGGCUACUUUGGCGAGAUCUUGCCUUUAAGGGGGUUGGAAUCCCCCUCUUUUUUUUCCUUUCUUUUGGACAUUCAAAACUGCUCUUAAGAACAAAGCUCGUCCAAAAAAACGAGGGCCUAGGGGAUCCAAACCUUGAUGUUUAAUAGAAAAGAUUGGGGUUCGAAGCUAUUUGAGGUUAGUUGUCUUAUACUUCCUCCUGUUUAUACAAACUAAUUGUAUUAUCGCUUCAACACGGUCACUGAUUCUUGAUCCGGAUUGGUGAAUUUUUAAAUUACUUGAAAAUAGAUAAUAGGUAUUUUUUUUUGACGCAUUUCUUUAAAUAUAAGUUCCUUGAAUUUAUAUAAUUUAACUUAUUCUAGAGAUUUUUGAGUUAGGGAGAGGCACGUAUCCACAGAUGGAAAACUUCAAAAAAGGCCCCCAACUAGCGACCUGAGGGAAAUAUAUCAUACAUAUAUUAUAUUGAAACUGCAAAUAAAAUUUCCUGGUUCCUUGGAGUAGAUUGCAAAUAAAAUUACCUGGUUCUUGGCUUGGAGUAGAUCUUCCAUGGUUAGUGGCCUGAGGGGAAUCACUUCUUUUUGCUCCUUUGCCAUUUUGGUACCACUAGAGAUCGACGGCCUGGAUUGCUCCUCAUUCGACUUAGAUUUAAUGUCACCUUUUUCCUGAGGUAUUUGUUUCUUCUCAUGAGUACAAAUUCUGAUGUGCGUUACAUGACCACAUAGUUAUCAGGGUCAGAAAAAGUAGCAAAUUUUUGUGUUUGAAAAUCCCAACUUAUUUUUUAUUUUGGAGAUCAUUGGUCAUGGUAAAGAAAGAACCUUGCAAAAUUAAGAGCAUUUUUUAUAAUUAUGUUAUCGGAAAUUUAUCCAAAUACACUUAAGAGGCGACCUGCUUAACAUUUCACCCUAAAUGUAAUUUGAUAAAUUUCAAAACCUAACGUGUCAUUCGAUGGUCUAUUUGAAUUUUAUCAAUAUGCUAUCUGGAAAUAAACAGAAGGUUCAAAUCUUACAUGUAGUUCGAGAAAUUUUUUUUAUUUUAUCAUUAAUAGACCAAAAGAGCGAAAACUAAAUACCGUUUCUUUUUCUUUUUCCUUCUUCAAUAGCUCUCGCACUGACCGAUAAACUGCGGUAGUGCACAAAUUCUGCCCAAAACAAGUUACCAACCAUUCUUUGUUAAUACUGAUAAAGAACACAAUUAGGACACAAGAUUAAAUCUCUCUCUCUCUCUCUCUUAUUUUGAGAUUGAUAUAAAACAUAAGUAAAAAGGAUUGAAGGUGAAAUCUCUCUCCUCCUCCCUCUCUCGAACCUUGAGAUCACUGCCCGUGUAUCCUUCAGUAAUGGAGGCAAGCUCUUUGAAGCUAAGCUCUUCGGUCUUCUCUUUAGCGAGAAGGGGCGGUUUGUUGCCCCCAAAACGAGUAUCGUCUCAUUAGAUUUUGUGCCCAAUCCAUCCCAAUUGGCCGUGAACUCAUUCUUAACGCAACGUGUGGCCUCGCUCUCACUGUCGUUACUAGACCUCCGACCCAACAUGCUAUCAACCUCAUCAAUGAAUAUAAUGGCCGGUGCCAAUUUUGCAGCCAGUCUGAAUAGCGCUCUUGUGAUCUUCUCAGCCUCUCCAUACCACUUAUUGGAUAUGGUCGACGUGGAAAUGUUAAUGAAGGUAGCUUCAGCUUCUAUAGCAAUGGCUUUAGCCAACAUGGUUUUCCCGGUACCCGGAGGACCGAAGAGAAGGAUUCCCCUACAAGGUCUUAAGAGACCACGUCCCCUAAAGAUAUCAGGCCUCUUAAGUGGGAGUAUUACAAGCUCUUCGAGGAUCCUCUUUGUAUCUUCUAGUGCUCCAAUGUCUGAGAAGGUGACAUCAAUGUCCUGUGCAGCAAUAACCUCUUGCAUCAGUAGCUUCUCGAACUUGUUGUCUUGAAGAACUUCCUGUAAUCCACAAAAAUGAAAAAAGUAAAAGAAAUGAUAAUAAAAAUAUGAACACUUAUAGGUACUUAAUAAGAUUGGUGUGAUUAAGUUUCAUGCAAGAUGGUAUUCAAAAUCUUUACUGAGUUAUUUGGGAAUUAGGGUUAAAAUACUAAUGCUGAGGUCCAGUUUCCUAUUUUAAGAAUGCUUUCACGCAUUACAUAAAUCAAACCAGGCAUACAUAGAAACACCAUCAGACUCUAUCUUAACAAGGGCUACAAGGGUUGAGAUCACCCCCUUUGUUUUGGUUUCUGGUGCCCCAGCUUCGGCUUUUGGCUCGGGUUUUUCCAGUCUUCCAGUGGAAGCAUGAAUCCCAUUUUAUUUCUCCCCUCCAAAACUAAGCAUUACAAUUCACAAUACAUCCAUAAUAAAACAAAAUCAUAGUUAUAACUAUAUGAACCAUUCCUAUAAGAAAGAGAAAUUGAAGAAAGAGUAUCACAGAUUUUAGUUCUACAUUAGAUCUAAGUGUUUGGUUCAAAUUUGUAUAAUAUCAAUGAAGCUCUGACAAAAAUUUAUAUAUUACAAUUGAGCAUACCUUAGCCUUAAAAAAAAAAAUUAGAGUAAAAAAAAAAGAGUAAUUAAAUGAUGAUGAGAUAUAAGAAUUUAUAGGUAUAAGAAUUUAUAGGUACUCCGGAAGAUUGGGGAAAGUUUCACAGAAGAUGGUCUUCAAUAUCUAGGGUUAAAAUUCUAAUGCCGAAGUUCGCGUUCCCAUUGUUAGAGUGCUUUCACCCCAUUAUAUAAAGGAAAAUGUUUAUAUAGAGCCGAGGUUCUAAACAAUCAAAUUGGAGCCCACCUCGAAAAUUUCAUUAGAAGAGACUGUUUUGAUGCCCAAAUAUUUUUAAAUUGAUCAUCUUGAUAUCAAGAUGCAUGGAAAUGAGAAAAAAAAUAGAUUUCAAGUUUUGGAAAUAGUGCAUCUUGUAACACAUUUUUGGAUCAUCAAUUUCAAGGUUUUACAAAUCUGCUCGAUCUACAUUGUGUUUGAAGCUUUAAAUUUUAUAAUUAAAAAUAAAAAUAUAUUUUAAAGCUAUCACAAAGAUUUCCAGUAUUAAAACCACAUUUCUCGACACUAUUUUAAGGUAUGCUUUACGUUGAUUGUUAAAAGUCUCGGAUCUUUACAAACUGCACCCUUAUAUAAAUUAGAGAAUGCAUAAAUAGAAGGCUACUGGGGGCCGGGAUCCACCCCUUUGAUUUGUUUUCCGGUGUCCUAGCUUUGGCUUUGACUUGGGUUUUUCUGGUCUUCUAGUGGAAGCAUGAACUCCAUUUUGUUUAACUUGAAGCAAGGAUUUCAGGAUAUAUUCAUAAUAAAAUAAAAUCAUAGUUAGAAAUAUGUGAACCAUUCCUAUAAGAAAGAGGAUAUAUUCAUAAUAAAAUAAAAUCAUAGUUAGAAAUAUGUGAACCAUUCCUAUAAGAAAGAGAAUUGAACAAAGAGUGUCAAAGAUUUUAGAUCUACACUAGAACUAGCUGUUUGGCUAAAUUUUGUUUAAUAUCAAUGGAACUAUUAUACAUAUGCUUUGAGCAUACCUUAGUCCACAAAAGUGAAGAAAAAAUAAGGAAAUGAUAAUGAGACAUGUGCACUUAUGGGUCCUAAAAAAGCUUGGGGGGUCAUUUCGAAGUUUCUGACAAGAUGGUAUUCAACAAUUUGCUGAAUUAUUUGGGAGUUAAGGUUAAAAUACUAAUUGCUAAGGUCCGGAUUCCCAUUAUAAGGAUGCUUUCACCCAUUACAUAAACUUAACAAGACAUAAAUAGAAACAUCACUGAUCUCUAUCUUAACAGGGGCUGGGAUCUUUUUUUGUUUUUUUGUUUCGUAUAGUUAAGUGGGGAUUGAGUCCCCUUACUCAUAGUAGAAAUGAAACUUAAGACAACAUGUUGUGACCAUCUAGCCUUGAGCCCAUUCCUACUAAGUUAGGAUUUGGUGCCAUAGCGUUGGGAUUUGGUGCUAGCCUUGAGCCCAUUCCUACUAAGUUGGGAUUUGGCGCCAUAGCUUUGGCUUUUUGCUUGGGACUAAUUUUGUUUCUCUUGAAUAAUCAAGACAAAACAUAAUAUAUUCAUAAUAAAAAAAUAACAUAAUAUAUUCAUAAUAAAAAAAUUAUAAUUAGAAGUAAGUGAAACUCUGUCUUAACCAUCCUCAUACUGGUCAUGCCAAUCCCUAUAAGGGACACGUUGUACACGCCUGGGGUGUGAUGAGAAAUAUGCAAGGUUAGGCGUUCCUUGGAAGCAACACACCACAACAACAACAUAUUAGGUGAUAAGUAGGCAAAACAUGUUGCGUGAUAAGUAGGCAAGGGUUCUUGCUUCAUUCUAGACGAGCACAAAAAGAAGCUAUUUCGAAAAAAUAGGAUUUGUCUAGACAAAUGAAACUUGGGAGUGCUAAUAAGUAAGAGUAUGAAGUUAGCAGAUACAAUGAGAUGAAGGAAAGUUAACAUAGCUUGCUUAUAGGAAACCAAGUGGAAACUUGCUUGCUUAUAAAAAACUAAGUGAAAAGGGGAAAAAACAACAAAAAUCGAUGGAUAUAAACUUAGGUAUUUAUAAAAACUAAGUGAAAAGGGGAAAAAACAACAGAAAUUGAUGGAUAUAAACUUAGGUAUUUAUAAAAACUAAGUGAAAAGGGAAAAAAUAGGUAUUUAUGAAUGGAUAAUAAUAAAAAUUAUUUAGUGCCUGCCAAUUUAGAUUUACCUUAGAUGCACUCAAAAUUGGAGUAUUUUUGAAUUGUAAUCCAAAAAUCUUGAGAAACUUACUUUAAAUCAUACCAAUUGAGAAACAGACUUUAAACCAUUUGGACAACCACAAGAUUUUGUUAAGAUUUUUAGAUUGAAAGAAAAAAAUAGUGCAUGUCAAGGCAAAAAUUACUGUAAAAAAAAUCAAGUUAGAUUUAAAUUUAAAAGUUACCGUAAAAAAAAUCAAGUUAAAUUUGAAUUUUUUCGAAUGAAAGAGUUGCCUUCUCUCACACCAUGCAAACCCCACAGUGACCCAACAACCCAUCGCUCUCUUUCUCUCUAAAAACCUUGCAAAUCCAAACAAAUCAACUCUCUCACUAGCACCCUGCUACCUACCCAAUUUCUCGCUCUCCCUCUCUCUCUAAAAACCCCGAACAUCCAACUUUCUCUCAAGCACCUUGCUACCCAUCCCUCUCUCUCUCUCUCCAAACCCAACCCAGCACCCAACUUUCUCUUAGCACCCUGCUCUGCUCUCCCUCUGUUGAUGCUGCAAAGAAGCUGCUGCUAAUGGUUUUUAAUGUUAUGAUCAACAAAAGGGAAUUUAAAUGUAGAGGAGGGCUUUUUGGGAGAGGAAUUUUUGCUACCCAUCUCUCUCUUUCUCUGUCCAAAAAAUCCCGUAAAUCUCUAGCACGCUGCUCUCCCUCUAUUGAUGCAACAAAGAAGCUUCUCUGGUGUUGCUAAUGGUUUUCAGUACUAGUAUCAACAUAAGGGGAUUUAAAGCUGGAGGCAAAAGAGAGAAAGGAGAUAAGAAGAUUUGCAGUGAGAGAAUCGCAUCGCAGAGAGACUUCAACACCCAAACGACUUUACAAGAAUAGAUAGAAGGCUUUGUAUUUUUUAUUUUUUUUAUUGGCUAUUUGAAAAUCUUGCAAUUUUUUUGCAUAAUAAAAGCUGAAGUAAUUAUUGUCAACAGAGUAUGUGAUAAUCUCAUAUUAAUUAAACUUGUAUAAGGGAAGGAGAUAAUUAAUAUACAUAGUACUUAAAUAAUUAAGAGACAAUCCUGAGAAGACAUGGAUGGACUAGUCCAACAAAUACCAAAUGGAGAUAGGACUUUUUUUAGCAAGGGACUUAAAUAAUCAUGCGGAAAAAAAUAGCAGACAUGUCAAGGUGCAUGAGAAAUAUGGUUUUGGAGAAGGAAAUGAGAUGGUGAGGCCAUUUUGGAUUUUGCAAUGGCUUGCUACUUAGCACUAGUACACACCUACUUUAAAAGCGAAAUGAACAUUUAAUAACAUAUAAAAGUAGAUUAUAUAAAGGGUGCAGUUGGCAUACAGAUGCUUUCGNNNNNNNNNNNNNNNNNNNNNNNNNNNNNNNNNNNNNNNNNNNNNNNNNNNNNNNNNNNNNNNNNNNNNNNNNNNNNNAUAUCUAAUUAUAAAAUUUUUAAAUUUCAAAAAUGGUUAAAAUCAAGUAGAUCUAUAAACAUAUAAAAAUCUUGAAAAUGGACGGUGUAGAUAAUAUGUUGUAAAAUGUACUAUUUCUAAGACUUAAUUUUUUUUUUUUUCAUGGUCAUACAUCUCGAUGUCGAGAUGAUCAAUCAAAGGGUUUUUCAACAUUAAAACUACCUUUUUCAAUGGAUUUUUGAGGUGCAUCCGUAGUUCUACAUUAUAAAGUUGUAUCCUUAUAUAAACGUUUUCCUUAUAUAAAAGCUAGAUAGACUUCUUGAUAGUUAAGGUGGAUCGAUAAAGACUGUAAGGUUGUCCCAUGAGGGAGUUUGACAAUACAACAUAGGCUGAUGGUUAUGGAUGUUUGGGUAAGAGGAUGGAAUAGGAAUGAAAUUAAUGUGUCCAAGAACUACGUGUUGGGAUUUAAAAAAAAUACAGAAGUAAAUUGAUAAAAGACAAAAAUUUGAAUUCUAAGCACGAAGUUAAUAUUAUGUGGUAUGAGAUAGUUCGUUGUAUUAAAAAAAGUGGCAAAAUAAAUUUUAAUAGAGAUUAAAGGGAAAAUAAAUUUCAAUUAGAAAACUUGGUGGUAAAGUGAUGACGUUCACAAGGCUAUCAGUAAAAAAACAAUUAUGUUAUAAAGCUUGACAUUGUAAUAGUAAAUAAGACUAAACUUAAGGUCAAUAAACAACAUACCGUAUAAUGAGGGUAGCUGAUGAUGAUGAUGAUGAUGUUGAGAUGGAUGAGUGACAAGACAAGAAAAGUUAGAAUUUGAAAUAAAUAAAUUAGAUAAAAUUUAGAUAUGGCUUCAAUAGGCGAUAAGAUGAGAAAAUAUAGAUUUAGUUGUGCUUACCAUGUGCAACGUAGGCCUAAUAUAACACCAAUUAGGAUGUGCUAUUUGGUUCAAGUGAAAAGCUCUAAAAGGGUAAAGGGAAUGUUCAAAAGGCCAUGGUUAGAAGUAAUGAGAAAAGAUAUGGUGAAUUAUAGUCUUAUUGAGGGUAGAGCAGAAUGAUGGAACGUGAUUUGUGUAACCAACUCAAAAUAGUAGGGAUAUGGCUUGAAUGAUGAUGAGGAAGAAUUGGAAGUAUGUGAAUCCUAUACGAAAGAGAACUUAAAGAAAGAUUUUAGAUCUACACUACAAGUAUCUGUUUGGCUAAAUUUUUUAUAAUUGAACAAUGAGAAAAAAUUAUGCAUUUGCAAUCGAGCAUACCUUUUGGGAUUUAGAAUUGGCUCCCGUCUGUGGUGAAUCCUUUUCAUUGAGCUUACCUUCUUGAAAUAAAUGCAGUCCAUGUACAAGACUGUUCAUGGCAAAAAGAAAAAGAUGUAUAACAAGUCAAAGAAAAAUGAAGUCCAAUAAUUACUAGGCAAAUGCCACGCAAUAAAUUGAUGACAACUACGGAUGAUUGCCACUUGAAAUGCCCCUUGAAGUGAACACUGGUCCACGCCAAUUUCAAAUAACAAUUUUUUUAAAAAAAACUUCACAUGAAAUUGGCAAUGAUAAUUGUGAUCAUCAUCAUCAAGACAUGCAUAAUGACAACAACAUCAUUAUCGACACCAAUAUCAUAAAUAAUAAUAUCAUAAAUAAUGAUAAAUUAAAAUAGGAAAAGUAUAUAAGGAGACUAUUUAUCUUCGGUAUAAUGUGGUCACAAUUAAUCUUGAUCUUUGGAUGUAAAAUUGGAUAGCUAUAUUAAUUCCGUUGACCAAGCUCUAACUUCAAAAGAAAUUUUCUUGAACUUUUUAAUACACCCAAGCCAUCAGAUUUCACAUCGAAUGAUAGUAAGUAAUUGUAACCUCCUUGUAUCAAAGAUAAAAAUUCUCCCAUUAAAUAAAUUAUAAGAAUGUUAACAUGAGUUGUAGUUGUACCUUUCGGAUGAAAUAACUAGCAUUCCAUUCCUGUACUUAGGAACUGUAUUGUUCAGCAGGUAAUGAGAGCACAGACCACAAUUUCCUCUAUGUUACUUCUAAGUAUCUCAGUGUUUUGGUUGACACAUAUUGAAUCGAGAUCAUCACAGUCAAUAUCAUUGGCAUUAAGAAAUUUAGCUAUGUGAUUUCUAUGAUCUUGAGCUUUUAUCACCGUCAUCUCGUGGACUACAGAAAGCAUCCAUUUCACCCGCUUGCUCAU